CUCAGUGCGACCCCGCCAGUACCUCUCCCAGUGGCCCUUUCAGUGGUUCCUUGCUUUCGGAUUACAUUUCACAAGGACUGGGUUCCCGGACAGAUCUGUAUAUAUCUGACGAUUCAUAAUGAUGUCCAGGAAAAUUGUGCUUUUAUGCAUAAUAUCAAUGGUUUUGACAGUCGUAAUUUUUGACUUGCACAGAGCUACUGCGCCGUCCUUCGCGGGGCUUGGUGGCGGCGCGACUGCCUCGACGCCUGGCAUCCCCUCCUCCUCAAGGGCGCGACCUCAAGGCCCGUCCUUGAGUCCGACGCGGGAGGAAGGCGCGACUUU
Non-coding RNA from Penaeus vannamei (Pacific white shrimp), 321 nucleotides. The record is from RefSeq and is a predicted model, not a curated record. Lineage: Eukaryota; Metazoa; Arthropoda; Malacostraca; Decapoda; Penaeidae.